This 286-nucleotide signal recognition particle RNA is filed under the name Phascolarctos cinereus (koala). RNAcentral describes it as "Metazoan signal recognition particle RNA (ENSPCIG00000021014.2)". It matches the Rfam family "Metazoan signal recognition particle RNA". From Rfam's summary of the family: The signal recognition particle (SRP) is a universally conserved ribonucleoprotein. Lineage: Eukaryota; Metazoa; Chordata; Mammalia; Diprotodontia; Phascolarctidae. The record is from RNAcentral.
GAUGACAAUGUACACUUGUAAUCCCACCUCCCAGGGAAGCUGAGACUGGAGGAUUAUUUGAGUUUAGGAGUUCUGAGCUUCAGUGGACUAAACUGACUGGGUGUCCACACUAAUUCUGGCACCAAUAUGGUGAAUGCCCAAAAGUGGGGAGCCACCAGAUUGCUUAAGGUAGGGAAGAAUCAAUCUUGGUUGGAAGCAGAGCAAAAGGAAGUUCCCAUGCUAAUCAGUAGUGAGACUGGUCUGGUGAGUGGCAAUUAUAUUUCCAACCUAUAUGAGACAAGAAAAA